Molecule: ribosomal RNA, 542 nt
Filed under: Lactarius pectinatus
Lineage: Eukaryota; Fungi; Basidiomycota; Agaricomycetes; Russulales; Russulaceae
Description: LSU rRNA
Rfam family: Eukaryotic large subunit ribosomal RNA
Source: RNAcentral
AACUGCGAGUGAAGCGGGAAAAGCUCAAAUUUAAAAUCUGGCGGCCUUUGGCUGUCCGAGUUGUAAUUUAGAGAAGCGUCUUCCGCGCUGGACCGUGCACAAGUCUCCUGGAAUGGAGCGUCAUAGAGGGUGAGAAUCCCGUCUUUGGCACGGACCCCCGGUGCUUCUGUGAUGCGCUCUCGAAGAGUCGAGUUGUUUGGGAAUGCAGCUCAAAAUGGGUGGUGAACUCCAUCUAAAGCUAAAUAUUGGCGAGAGACCGAUAGCGAACAAGUACCGUGAGGGAAAGAUGAAAAGCACUUUGGAAAGAGAGUGAAACAGUACGUGAAAUUGUUGAAAGGGAAACGCUUGAAGUCAGUCGCGUCGACCGAGACUCAGCCUUGCCUUGGCUUGGUGUACUUCUUGGCUCGACGGGUCAGCAUCAAUUUUGUCCCUCGGAUAAUGGCAGGGGAAAGGUGGCACCUUUACGGGUGUGUUAUAGUCUCCUGUCGCCUGCGAGGUUUGGGAUUGAGGAACUCAGCACGCACCUCGGUGUCGGGGCUUUU